This is a long non-coding RNA of Hippopotamus amphibius kiboko, 542 nucleotides long. RefSeq lists it as uncharacterized. The transcript has 3 exons. The record is from RefSeq and is a predicted model, not a curated record. NCBI's taxonomy places the organism in Eukaryota, Metazoa, Chordata, Mammalia, Artiodactyla, Hippopotamidae.
CAAAAAUGGGGAUUAAAAACACCUACCUCAUAGAAUUGUUUUGAAGCUGAAAUGAGAAAAAAAAAAGUGUCCGGGAUACACCCCAGAUCUCUCUGCAACUGGCCUAGAAAACAGUGAGAGCUCCCAGGUCACCAGCACACAGGGACAGAUACUCUUGACCCUGCUUGUGACAGCAUUGCAAACACAUGCCUGACAUACUUUGGAAAGACUGUCUGGUGCUAUUACUGGGCUUCCUAGGUGGUACAGUGGUUAAGAAUCAGCCUGCCAAUGCAGGGGACACGGGUUCGAUCCCUGCUCCAGGAAGAUCCCACAUGCUGUGGAGCAAAUAAGCCCGUGCGCUACAACUAUUGAGCCUGUGUUUUAAGCCCGUGAGCCACAACUAUUGCACCCACGUGCUGCAACUACUGAAGCCCAUGCGCCUAGAGCCCGUGCUCUGCAAUGAGAGAAGACACAGCAGUGAGGAGCCCCGCGCACUGCAAAGAAGAGUAGCCCCUGCUCGCCGCAACUAGAGAAAGCCCGUGUGCAGCAACAAAGACCCAACA